AAUUUUGCGCAAUGGGCGAAAGCCUGACGCAGCGACGCCGCGUGGAGGAUGAAGGUCUUCGGAUUGUAAACUCCUUUUGCAGGGGAAGAUAAUGACGGUACCCUGCGAAUAAGCCACGGCUAACUCUGUGCCAGCAGCCGCGGUAAGACAGAGGUGGCAAGCGUUGUUCGGAAUUACUGGGCUUAAAGGGCGCGUAGGUGUCCCGACAAGUCAGAUGUGGAAUCUUUUCGCUUAACGAAAAAACGGCAUCUGAAACUAUCGGGAUUGAGUCAGACAGGGGAUGGCGGAAUUCCCGGUGUAGCGGUGAAAUGCGUAGAUAUCGGGAGGAAGGCCGGUGGCGAAGGCGGCCAUCUGGGUCUGAACUGACACUGAGGCGCGAAAGCGUGGGUAGCAAACAGGAUUAGAUACCCUGGUAGUCCACGCCCUAAACGGUGGGCACUAGGUGUAGGGCUCGUAAGGGUUCUGUGCCGAAGGGAAACCAUUAAGUGCCCCGCCUGGGGAGUACGGCCGCAAGGUUG
Molecule: ribosomal RNA, 518 nt
Filed under: uncultured Nitrospira sp.
Lineage: Bacteria; Pseudomonadati; Nitrospirota; Nitrospiria; Nitrospirales; Nitrospiraceae
Description: bacterial SSU rRNA
Rfam family: Bacterial small subunit ribosomal RNA
Source: RNAcentral